This 447-nucleotide ribosomal RNA is filed under the name uncultured bacterium. RNAcentral describes it as "bacterial SSU rRNA". It matches the Rfam family "Bacterial small subunit ribosomal RNA", at positions 355 to 825 of the family's 1533-position model. The record is from RNAcentral.
UGGGGAAUCUUGGACAAUGGGCGCAAGCCUGAUCCAGCCAUGCCGCGUGGAUGAUGAAGGCCUUAGGGUUGUAAAAUCCUUUCGUUGGGGACGAUAAUGACGGUACCCAAAGAAGAAGCUCCGGCUAACUUCGUGCCAGCAGCCGCGGUAAUACGAAGGGGGCUAGCGUUGUUCGGAUUUACUGGGCGUAAAGCGCGUGUAGGCGGAUUUGUAAGUUGGGGGUGAAAUCCCGAGGCUCAACCUCGGAACUGCCUCCAAAACUACAAGUCUGGACCUAAGUAGAGGCAAGUGGAAUUGCGAGUGUAGAGGUGAAAUUCGUAGAUAUUCGCAGGAACACCAGUGGCGAAGGCGACUUGCUGGACUUAUGGUGACGCUGAGACGCGAAAGCGUGGGGAGCAAACAGGAUUAGAUACCCUUGUAGUCCCUGAGCGGGCUGGCAAGGCGCAU